Long non-coding RNA from Lepisosteus oculatus (spotted gar), 269 nucleotides. RefSeq lists it as uncharacterized. Lineage: Eukaryota; Metazoa; Chordata; Actinopteri; Semionotiformes; Lepisosteidae. The record is from RefSeq and is a predicted model, not a curated record.
GAAGGUGAUGCCACAGUUGGUCCUCUGUAUGUGCUGGGAGAGCAGGCUGUUGACCGCCUAGCAGAGGUGAAAGGUCAGAGGUCUCUGCUGAGAGCACAGGAGGAAGGUGAUGCAACAGGAGUGUCUGCUGAGCCUGUGAUCCUGGCUGCUCUGGGGGCAGUGGUGGGGCUGGUCUGUGUGGCUGCGCUGGGGCCUGUCCUUUACAGGAGACUGCAGAGUAAAUCCACUGAGCUGACUGUGGAGAAAUAAAGGAGGGAUUGGAAACUGUC